Molecule: long non-coding RNA, 2988 nt
Organism: Pomacea canaliculata
Lineage: Eukaryota; Metazoa; Mollusca; Gastropoda; Architaenioglossa; Ampullariidae
Exons: 2
Source: RefSeq, a predicted model, not a curated record
GAAAGUGAUAGAAGAGGUCUUUCGACCUCAUUUCCACCAGGCAGGCAUCUCACCCAUCAGUCACCCCCUAAGCUCCGCCCACCGAUGACAAGAGCGCCGCCUGCUGGAACCUGCGGGAAGUAGGCCGUCAGUCGACCUCUCCUACUCCCCCCCACACACCACCCUUCGUCUCCCACCUCCCCGCCAGCCUCGACAGUACACAUUGAUAUGUAAAGUUCAUUGCCUCAGAAGCGAGAUGGACACCUGAUAAGAGAAGGUCAUCAAUUUAUUGUGGCUGGGCGCGAGCGGUUUCCGGCCUGUGUGUGCGCUCGGCAAAAAAAGGCAUCAGUCAGUGUGUCAUGGCAGUGCCUCUGUGGCAGCACAGAAAAGGAGAAAGUGAAGGAGAUUUCGUGGAAUGUGGGCUUCACCGCCAUGGCGUCUCCCGUGACCUCCUGCCCGGCCUGCUGACCCGCCGCUGUCGUUCAAAGAGACAAGCGCCCGUGGGCAAUCGUGUGUGUGUGUAUGUGUCAGGGGGGUCGCUUUAAAAAAUUUAGGACACAGGUCUCUCCCCCCCCUACUGAUGUGCCGACUCAGCUUUAGAAGAGGUCUCGCUGCUGCGCCAUCGGAGACCUCUUCCUUGUCGUGCUCGGCAGCGUAGCGUAGUUCGGCAGGGGUCAAAGGGCGGAGGUGAGCGAGAGGUCGCCGGCCUUGCCCUGGCCUUGUGCUUGCCAGCGUGUUUGCACAAAAGCCAGCGAGCCCCUGGCCUCCACUGACGCUGGCACUGGCUGACAACACGGAGCCCGCGACCCGCCACGUCACGCAAAAAGUGCGCGCGCUGUGUCGCUCCUGCCGAGCGCUGGUCGGCUGCGCUGACAAAUGGCUGGCUUUUGGAAUAUAUCUGUUUUGAAGUGCCCCCCGACUCCAGACGCUCUCAGGUAAUAAAGCCAUUUUUCUUUUCUGUUACGGGACGAGGGGGAACCGGAUUUAGUAGUUAUCGAUCAGGGAGGUGGGUAAAGAGUGUGUCAGGGAGGGUGGCAGUGUUUUACGCUGACUGGCCUAGAUAACCGCUCUCACCUCGUUUCCUCUCCUUACGCGGGAGCAGACGACCGCGGCAGGCGCCAUGUUGUUUUUCCGUCCAGGUCCGCACCGUGUUUCUUUUAUUCUCUUCUUAAUUAAAAAGCACUUCAGAUAAGAAUCCAAUAAAAUCGUCUGAACAAGUCUUAAACACAAAGAGCCAGCCGCAUAAAUAUACAGUUUUAAAAAUCCCUUUUGUCGACACGCAGGUAGUGAAAGACGCCCCAACGGUCAAGUCAGUUAAACACUCGUGUUGUGAAUGGCGGGGAAGCCGGACUAUAUCGUAUGACGAACUGGUGGCGACAUAGUAAGUACACCAUAAUGCAGGCAUCAACACUCGCAAAGCUCGGGCUUAGUUCUGCUCCAUUCUCUAAAGGCAAGUUUCAUUUUUAUGAUUUUAGCACCGCGUUGCUAGCCGGCCCUGCUUGCCAGUGUCUGAUGCGGCUUUUGUUGUUUGGAGAGAGGGAGGCAGCUUUUUCAUAGUGACAAAAUCGAGAGACAAAAGGUUGUGAACCACCCAGUCGAGACAUCUCACAGCUUAACAUUUGCUCUGUGCUCUUCCAUUUCAGAGUAAUUUAAAACAUAUUUAUAUUCCUCUACACAAACAUUGGAAAAAAGAGUCAAAGCAAUCUCAUUGCAUUAUAUUUUUAAGAGAUUAUAACUCAUUAAGAGCCCCAAAAAAUAGGAAAAUUCAUACAUCUGAAAAGUAUGUUUGUAAUUAUUUGUUUAGCAUAACUCAGUCUGAGCUGUUCCCUGGCAACACUGAAACCGCACCAUCAUUAUUUCUGGAACCAAAGUUGAUUUCUGAUGUUUAUCAAGCUGACAUAGGUAGAAAUGUCGAAGGGUUUUCUUGGCAAGAAAUGAGAUAAUGGGUGCAACUUAUUUUUUGUAGUCUGGCGCUGACCUUUUUGUUUCACUCUCUCCAGAAAAACAAUUUCACAAAAUAAAUGUGCAUAAUGGCAAGUAAUAUUUGCAGUUUGUUACUAAUCAGUAGACCAACAGUAAAAUUAAUUUAUUGUUAGGGAGAGCCUGAAAGAAGAAAAUUGCAAAACAUCAGAAAUUUUCUAAAGUUUUGAUAUCUUUUACUGGAAUUAAGCAGAGUAAUAAUCUCGAGGUAACUGUAAAGCUUCUAGAAAGGGUUUGCAACUUUAAAAGUGCAUUUAUGGAAAUUAUAAAAGGCAGACUUUUUCUACAAGUUUUAUUAGGCAAAGAGGUGGAAUGUAAAUGAUUUUCAGAUAUUUCUAUUCCUUUAAAAGCAUAUUGGCAUUUCAAAUCCUUUUCAGAAUACUUAAAGCGACCCUGAAGGCAUUGCAGUUCUGCAUUUUUCUUUAAAUUUUGCACACAUUUAAAAAGCAGCAAACUCGAGAAUUAUGUCUGCUUUUAUCUGUUUAUCCUUUUUGAACAUUUGAUUUGAGUAAAGAGAAAAGAGGCUUGCAAUUUUUAACAAUAAAAAAUUGAAUUUUUAUAGCCUUAACAUCGUUCAUGUCAUAAAAAUUGUCUUUUCAAAAUGACUAAUAAUAAGUGAAAACUUGAUUACUUUUUUCUUAUGAAACUGUCAGACCUGUAUCAUUAAUAGUUUAUGAUGCCGUAAAUGGCCACCAUUGUCAUAACAGGAGAACAAAAUUUUGUGAUGACAACCUUAAGUUCGGGUGUAAUGUAAAAUCUUACAAAUAUUUUUAUUUUGUAGGAAUUAAGUGCUGUGCCGUGGAGAUGUUCUCUGUGAUGAUAAAGUAACUGCCGGGAGCGAUCGGUUUGGUUGGUUGUAACGGUACAUGCGAAAGGUGUGUUCGUAUCAUCCAUGAUUCGAAUGUGUCGAUUGUGUGGGUAUUGCAAAAAGCACAUUGAUUUUAUAGGGCAACAAAUUUAAACGAAAUCAUAAAAAAUUGCUAAAAUUUGAAACACCGACCUUCCAUCGUCGGUUAACGCCUUGUUACA